ACCCGGAGGAAGAGAAAGAAAAUUCGAUUCCCUUAGUAGCGGCGAGCGAAACGGGAAGAGCCCAAACCAACAAGCUUGCUUGUUGGGGUUGUAGGACACUCUGUACGGAGUUACAAAGGACGACAUUAGACGAAUCAUCUGGAAAGAUGAAUCAAAGAAGGUAAUAAUCCUGUAGUCGAAAAUGUUGUCUCUCUUGAGUGGAUCC
This 205-nucleotide ribosomal RNA is filed under the name Staphylococcus aureus. RNAcentral's name for it is "partial 23S ribosomal RNA". It matches the Rfam family "Bacterial large subunit ribosomal RNA", at positions 208 to 408 of the family's 2925-position model. The record is from RNAcentral. Lineage: Bacteria; Bacillati; Bacillota; Bacilli; Caryophanales; Staphylococcaceae.